UAUAUAUAUCCUACUAAUAUUUUUUUUGAGAAAGAGGUAGACAAGCUACCUGCUUCAUUCAUUGAGAAAUGAACUAAGCGUACAGUAUGGAAGCAGCUAAGGCUUCCAAGGCGAGCCAAACAGGAAAAAACAAAAGUGGAAAAAAAGGUGAAUAGAAGGUUGAGGAAAAAAUGAUUAAAAAAGGCGGUGCGCGUAGGGUGUUGACAGUGUUUCAGCUCAGGACUUCAUCAGGAGAACAGUACUAGGGAUCUUCAAGCG
Molecule: long non-coding RNA, 258 nt
Filed under: Ananas comosus (pineapple)
Lineage: Eukaryota; Viridiplantae; Streptophyta; Magnoliopsida; Poales; Bromeliaceae
Description: long non-coding RNA (ACOM_LNC022792)
Source: RNAcentral